This 253-nucleotide ribosomal RNA is filed under the name uncultured bacterium. Its description in RNAcentral is "partial 16S ribosomal RNA". It matches the Rfam family "Bacterial small subunit ribosomal RNA", at positions 524 to 776 of the family's 1533-position model. The record is from RNAcentral.
UACGUAGGGUGCGAGCGUUGUCCGGAAUUAUUGGGCGUAAAGAGCGUGUAGGCGGCUUUACAGGUCCGUUGUGAAAACUCGAGGCUCAACCUCGAGACGCCGGUGGAAACCGUAAGGCUAGAGUCCGGAAGAGGAGAGUGGAAUUCCUGGUGUAGCGGUGAAAUGCGCAGAUAUCAGGAAGAACACCCGUGGCGAAAGCGGCUCUCUGGAACGGUACUGACGCUGAGACGCGAAAGCGUGGGGAGCGAACAGG